Neofelis nebulosa (Clouded leopard) is the source of this 1877-nucleotide long non-coding RNA. RefSeq lists it as uncharacterized. The record is from RefSeq and is a predicted model, not a curated record. NCBI's taxonomy places the organism in Eukaryota, Metazoa, Chordata, Mammalia, Carnivora, Felidae. The transcript has 4 exons.
GGUUGUUUUCUCAAGCUCAGGUUCUUUUCCUCUGUAGUUUAGUCUCAAAACAACCACAACGUAUUUGGUAUUUAGUACAGUUUUGGAAAAGAAGUUUAUCCCACAAAAUAUCAAAUGAUCUUGAACUAAAAGUCCAGACUAUGUUCUUCCAUGUGACAUCAAGUAAACAGCCUCUAAUGAUUUCUUGCUAAGACACCUCUGCAGUCCUUAACUCUGUACAAAUCACGAUAAUAAUCACUAUGAAGUCUUCAAGAACAGAGACUCUACUGAAUUCAUAUUGAGACUUGCCCUCACUAUCAGAACAAAGCUAUAUAUGACAGAGACCCCUGGCUGUUUUUGAUAAAUGAAAUCAGUGAACAGGAAAAAGAUACAUCUCAUCUAAGGAACUCACAAGAGGCUUAUCCUAUGAAAAAUGGGUUGCAGAUAAACAAUUCCUCAUGCGGGAAACCUUGUCAAUAAUGGUAAGAAGCAGCAUGGCCUAUUGGACAGGAAGAUGAGAAGAAAGAAAGAACUCAUUUUUAAAAGGACAAGCCACCAUUUUCCUUGGACGUUCAAAGAAAUGUGUGGUCCUCAAAAGCUUGGAAAUUACUGCAUUAAUUUCUGUUCAUCAAAAGAUACCUUAAAUAAGCAGAAAAGCUGGAAUACAAACCAGGAGAAGAAAUUAUAAUUGUCAUUAAUAUAUGUAAAUAACAAAAGACUAAAAGAAUAUGCAAACAAAAGAAUAUAUAGAACACAGCUGCCAAUCAAUACUAAAUCAAGAAUCUAAAUCAAAAAAUGGGUAUAGGACAUUAACCUGUAUUUCAAAAAAGAGGAAACAUGGCAAAUACACAUUGGAAGAUCGGUUUCAUCUUCUCAUUAGCAAUCAGAGAAGUGCAGAUCAAGACCACUAUGAGGUGUCAUCUACACAAAUUAGACGAGCGGAAAGGAAAAAAAAAAAAAUACACCAACAAUACCAAGUACUAAAGAGGAUAUAUGGAUUUGCAGUAUUCCGUAGAAAGUUGGGAGUAUAAAGUUGUAUAACUAUGUUUGAAAACACAUUAUCUUAUAAAGUUAAAGAAUCAAACACUCCAUGAUCCAGUAAUCACAUUUCUAGGCAUAGAUCCAAGAGAAAUCUUUAUACGCAUAUAUACGGAAACAUGUAGAAGAUUGUCCAUACCAAUACUGUCAACAACAACAAAACUAAUACAACUCAAAUGCCAUGUGAAAUACCAGAAAAUAUAUGUACUCGUCUCUGCUCCCAGUUCCUGGCACAGAGCUCCUAAAAUUUGCAAUCUCCUAAAUGAUAAGAGCACUAAGAGCGUCUUUUGGUCUUUGACUCUGGUUCUUACCUCAGAGCUCCUAAAUCUCUUGGAAUUUGCUGAGUGACAGGACUACCCCUUAUCCUAAUGAGACAGCUCUUCUUAGGCUUCUGGAGAGCUUCGGAAUGGGGGCUGGCCACCAGAGACACCAAGCCACGUUUAAAGCUUGGGACUUUCAACUCCACCCCUCUCUACACCAAGUGGGAAAAAGCCUGGAGAUUGAGUUAAUUACUGAUCAUGCCCACGUGAUGAGGUCCCCAUCAACAUCCCACAAGUACGGGAUUCUGAGACAGUCUAGGUUGGUGAAGAGAUGGAAGUGUUAGGAGAGUGGCAGACUCAGACAGGAAAUGGAUGCUCUACAUUCCUCCCAACAUGUUCUGACCCAUGCAUCUCUGCCGUCUAGUUGUUCCUGAGUUAUAUCAUUUUAUAAUGAUCUGGCAACCCAGUAAAUUUAUUUUCCUGACUUCUGUGAGCUAUUCUAGCAAAUUAAUCAAACUUGAGGGUGAGGUUGUAGAAUUUUUUAUUUACAGUCAAUUGGUCAGAAGCACAGAUAACCUAGACUUGGAAUCGGCAUCUGAA